RNA transcript from Leptopilina boulardi, 1492 nucleotides. It is a transcript of the gene named androgen-dependent TFPI-regulating protein-like, with no coding region annotated. The transcript is spliced from 6 exons. The record is from RefSeq and is a predicted model, not a curated record. NCBI's taxonomy places the organism in Eukaryota, Metazoa, Arthropoda, Insecta, Hymenoptera, Figitidae.
GCAUCCUGUUAAGAGUAUACAUCUUUACCGCACUUGUCAGUUCGUGUCAAGUUACAAUAAGAGUAAUUCAACAAAAAGGUGUCGUGUGAGAAUUUUCUUUUUAUACAAAAUCAUUUUUUUUUUAAACCUGUGUGCCAUUCUUUUAACAUAAAAAAAAUAUAUAUAAAAUAACAAAAAACUGACAAAAACCAAAGAAAUGUCUUCUACAACCUACUGUUUAAUCCACAUGGCAAUGUCCGGAAUAUAUGUAUUCACGGCAUAUUAUGCUUUCUUUAUUCUGGAUAUACCAUUUUUAAGAAAAAGUACCGAACAUUUCGAUCCUGGCCAAUUUAAGUACCUCACUGUGUGGAAUGUGAUUCUGCAAUCAAUAUUCUUUUUCAUCUGUAUGUUAAAUGAUGUGUAUGGAACAAAUAAAAGCAGUCCAAAAAAAACUCCAUUUAUUCGACGAUUGAAAGACUUUUUUCAUGCUGCAUUAAGUUUUCCCGUUGGUAUGUUUGUAGGUGUUACAUUUUGGUCUCUAAUGUUUGUUGAUCGUGAAUUAGUUUUGCCAAGGGCAUUGGAUCCCUAUUUUCCAUCAUGGCUGAAUCAUUUAAUGCACACGCUAAUUGUAGUGACGACAGUUAUAGAAAUUUUUAUAGCACCUCGACAAUAUCCUAAACGAAUACAAGGCCUCGGAGGACUUCUUUUAUUUAUGCUCACCUAUUUAGUUUGGAUGCAUGUGAUUUACAUGAAGAGUGGAAUUUGGGUCUACCCUGUGAUGGAAGUUUUGAUUCUACCGUUGAGGAUAGCCUUUAUUGUAGUAUUACUGUUAUUUACAGUAAUACUCUACUUCACUGGAGAAACAUUGAAUCAUCUGGUCUGGGGUAACGAUCAAUUCAAACAUCAAAAAUCUCAUAUGAAAGCCAAGUAGCCUCGCCAAUUAUCACCUCCUGGUGAUGUCUACACGCGUUCUACUCUCUACGGUGGUGGUAAAAAAUACACUCAGACAGAGAUACCAGUUUCAAAAAUGUAGAAGCAAGAAAAAUCAUCAGGAGGACUACAUCUCAAAAACUAAAUAAAUAAAUAAAUUUCUUCGUCGUCCACUAUAAAAUAAAUCCAAAGAAGUACGAUUAAGAAGAAAACCAGAUCAAUUCGAAUCGACCAAAAUAAUUGAAAAAAAUAUAUAUAUAAUAAUAACUAUAAUAUACACUAAAGGAAUCUCAAUAGAAAUAUAAUCGUAGAUUAUAUUUUUCAUCUCUUGAAUUAAAAAAAAAAUCCCUUCACUGCCUAAACGUCUCUAUUAUAUAUUUUAUCUGUACAUAAAUUAUUAUUCUUUUUUUCAAGAAUGCCUGAUUAAAGUCAUUUAUUUUACUGCCUUUUUUCUAAUUUCUGAAUGCUGUGCUAGAUAUUAAGCUUGUCUAUCUUUGUACAAAUUGUUGAAAAUAAAUGUCCAUUGUGAAUGUGUAUAUAUAUAAUUUACAUCUAGAUAAUAAACUUUGUUAAUUUGCGUUUA